CGAAAUGUCCUGAAUGUUUGGUCCUGAGCUUAGCCCGAAGCCCGAUCACAGGUCGGACCGCCAUUUUUCUGCUGAUGUCAAUCACCAAAUCAAGCUCCUCCUCUUGUUCAAGCACAAUUACUGUAUUCAACAUGAGCUUCCUUGCAACCAAAGCAAGCGAAAUGUACUCCGCAUCCUUGAACCCGUUGCAUACAAGUAAACCCUCACGGCUGCCUUUGCAGAGACAGCUCAUAGCUAGGAGGAGCUCAGGUUUGGACCCGGCUUCAAGACCGAACCGGAAACCCGACCCGAAUUUGACAAUAUCUUCUACAACGAACCUGUCCUGAUUGCAUUUCACAGGAUAAACACCUUGGUAGUGAGCUUCAUAACCUUGUGACUGAACCGCAUAAUC
RNAcentral lists this long non-coding RNA (391 nucleotides) under Nicotiana benthamiana. RNAcentral's name for it is "long non-coding RNA (NBEN_LNC005899)". The record is from RNAcentral. Lineage: Eukaryota; Viridiplantae; Streptophyta; Magnoliopsida; Solanales; Solanaceae.